Molecule: ribosomal RNA, 757 nt
Filed under: Phyllactinia fraxini
Lineage: Eukaryota; Fungi; Ascomycota; Leotiomycetes; Helotiales; Erysiphaceae
Description: partial large subunit ribosomal RNA
Rfam family: Eukaryotic large subunit ribosomal RNA
Source: RNAcentral
UUGACCUCGAAUCAGGUAGGGAUACCCGCUGAACUUAAGCAUAUCAAUAAGCGGAGGAAAAGAAACCAACCGGGAUUACCCUAGUAACGGCGAGUGAAGCGGUAACAGCUCAAAUUUGAAAUCUGGCUCCCUGCGGAGUCCGAGUUGUAAUUUGUAGAAGAUGCUUUGGGUGCUCGGCCCGGUCUAAGUUCCUUGGAACAGGACGUCGUAGAGGGUGAGAAUCCCGUAUGCGGCCGGGGUGGGUGCUCGUGUAAAGCUCUUUCGACGAGUCGAGUUGUUUGGGAAUGCAGCUCAAAAUGGGUGGUAAAUUUCAUCUAAAGCUAAAUAUGGGCCAGAGACCGAUAGCGCACAAGUAGAGUGAUCGAAAGAUGAAAAGCACUUUGGAAAGAGAGUUAAACAGUACGUGAAAUUGUUGAAAGGGAAGCGCUUGCAACCAGACUUGGGCGUCGCUGAUCAUCCAAAGUUUUCUUUGGUGCACUCGACGACGUACAGGCCAGCAUCGGUUGGGGUGGUGGGAGAAAGGUUGUAGGAACGUAGCUCUUUUCGGGGAGUGUUAUAGCCUGCGACGCAAUGCCGCCUACCCUGACCGAGGACCGCGCUUCGGCUAGGAUGCUGGCGUAAUGGUUGUAAGCGACCCGUCUUGAAACACGGACCAAGGAGUCUAACAUCUAUGCGAGUGUUUGGGUGCGAAACCCAUGCGCGAAAUGAAAGUGAACGUAGGUGAGAACCCUUCGAGGGGGCAUCAUCGACCGAUCCU